UAUCUAUUAAAGAGGCUAGC
RNAcentral lists this microRNA (20 nucleotides) under Mus musculus (house mouse). RNAcentral describes it as "mmu-miR-701-3p". Its record names the gene mmu-miR-701-3p. The record is from miRBase by way of RNAcentral. Lineage: Eukaryota; Metazoa; Chordata; Mammalia; Rodentia; Muridae.